Long non-coding RNA from Amblyraja radiata (thorny skate), 101 nucleotides. RefSeq lists it as uncharacterized. The transcript is spliced from 3 exons. The record is from RefSeq and is a predicted model, not a curated record. NCBI's taxonomy places the organism in Eukaryota, Metazoa, Chordata, Chondrichthyes, Rajiformes, Rajidae.
AUUGGAUAAGUUUGGAGUGACAUGGGACAAAUCCAGGCAGGUGGGAAUGGUGUAGAUGGGACAUGAUGGGGCAAGUUGGGAAAGUUGGGCUGAAGGGCCUG